Molecule: long non-coding RNA, 1883 nt
Filed under: Elaeis guineensis (African oil palm)
Lineage: Eukaryota; Viridiplantae; Streptophyta; Magnoliopsida; Arecales; Arecaceae
Description: long non-coding RNA (EGUI_LNC042403)
Source: RNAcentral
GAGAUUGAUGCAUAGUUCACCUCUCUUGUGGACAGAUAAGUCUCAGAUCUGUAGUAUAGGGACACUGGAGUGAGGGUAUGGAUGGUUGUUAGAGAAUAACUUACAUUAAAUAUGACCAACAUGAGAAAUCACUUGGAUGUCUACUCACUCAUCAGUGGCCUUCUCAAUACUGCAGUGGUGUGAGUGAUCCUUUGACCUGUGUGUCAUCAGCUAUUCAUAGUGAGGCUACUGAGUUUGACUGCAUGUUCUCUUGGUCUCUAGUCAUUCGGAUCUUUAUUGUGUAUGUUGGUUUCAGUAGGUUCAAGUUCGCUGUUUGGAGUAAGAUACAUCUAGAUGGAAUAUAUCGAUCUUGAUAGGAAAAGAGAAGUUCUAUGCAAUUUAUGAGACUGAGUUUAGAAAAUUUUUGAUCAAAAUAAGUGUGAAUACUGAAAAAGAGUUUUCAUAGGAUUCACAAAUGAACUCGAGUCGAGCCAAUCUUAUAUAUGAUUGAUGAUGGGGUCUAACGAGUUCUCCAUGACCUCCGUUAAAUCGAAACUCAUGAUAGAAAAAUUGAAUCAGACGAUAACUGCACCUUAGGGUUUACGUUUUCAUUCUGGUGGGCUGCCAGUACAUAUUGCUAAGUGUCAUUGAUGGAUUGUGGGACUCAUCGGGUGUCACCUUGAUGAUCGAUGACCCUCGAAGGAUAGAGUUAAAAUUUUUCAAUCCAUUGAAAUGAGUUUCAAUAAUAUUGUGAUGGAGAUCAUAAUAUAUCUUACUACCAGACAGAAUAGAACCUAUGGGGUCACAUAUAAAAGAGAUUCUUUUCCAAUCAGAUGGCUAAUCGAUGAUUAUGAAUUAUUGAAGGAUAAAAUUAUCAAUUUGAUUGAUGAUUAAUCUUGUGCAAAAAUUAUAAUUAAAAAAUUUACUGUGUUAGUAAAUCAUAGAAAGAUUAAUUAGUAAUUAGAUUACUAAUUGGCUUAAUUUGAUUGAGCAAUUGAGAUUCGGAUCAAGUCUAAUUGAAUUGGAUUCAAUUUGACUAGGGUUGAUUUUGAUUAGAUCGAGCCUAAUUACGAGGGAGAUUAAUUCUUGAUUUGAUCAAGACUUGGGUUCAGUUAAUUUUUAAUAAGAUUAAGAUUUAAUUGAGAAUAUUGGGUUUCUAAUUUGAUUAGAUUCUUCUUUCUUAUUUGGAUCAAAUCGAAUCAAAUUUGAUUUAAUUCAAAUUUGGAAACCCUAGAGUCCAUUGGAGCUGGGACUUUCUUUCCACUACCCCCGCUUUGGUUUCGCACCCAUAUUCCAUGAUAAAAAGUGUUUUGGUGUGAAAAAUUUUGAGCAUGAGGUUUUAGGUGCAGAUAUGAGAGGAGAGGAUGUUUUGGCAGGUAUUUGGUUGAUGACUCAUCCACCUUAUCUCUUGAUCUUAUUCCUAGUUUGAAUUUGAUUCAAAUCAAGGAUAGAGAUAAGAAGGGAAUCUAAUUUCUUUUUUACAACAACAAGAUGGUGCCAACAACCAAAUUCCUCCCAUGGGCAUGAAAAAAUAUGGGUGUGAGAAAUCAGAUCUGAUUUCUCACGCCAAUACUUGAAACAUUUUAAUGCCAAAAUUAUUUUGGUGUGUGAAAGUGUGGCACCCUCUCUCCCAAGAAACCCUAGUUCUCCCUCGUAUAAAUAGGGACUAAUUCUAGACCCUAUGGUGGUGUGAAAUAUUAGAAAAAAUUUAGAGAAAAAUAUUCUAAAAAAUUUGAGUCUUCUUCCUCCUCUUCCUCCCCAUUCUCCCUAGUUCUUAAGAGAGUCUGUGAGAUCUGUAAAAGAACAAUCUCAGCCAUCAAAGAAGAGUCUUCUGUAAGGGAGCUAGCACCCCAGUGAAGACACCUAUCUCUAAUUAGAAUGAGUUCUCAUGUGGAUACCUGUGG